Cinara cedri is the source of this 208-nucleotide non-coding RNA. The record is from the annotation of a GenBank genome assembly. Lineage: Eukaryota; Metazoa; Arthropoda; Insecta; Hemiptera; Aphididae.
CUCUAAUAUGACUGUAUCACUUGUAUCAUUCACAUGUCGAUUGAUCAGAUGUGAUGGACUAGUUGUGGUUAUCGAGGGUAUCACUGUCAGUGAUACCCUCGCUAGGGCCAUCACAGAUGAAUUAAGGAAUAUAAGGAUUUAUUUAUAUUUUAGGAGUUUUGCACGGGUUUGGUUUUUACAUUAUUGCGGCAUUGUGAGCGGUAUAUUU